GACCUGAUGCAGCCAUGCCGCGUGUGUGAAGAAGGCCUUCGGGUUGUAAAGCACUUUCAGUUGUGAGGAAAAGUUAGUAGUUAAUACCUGCUAGCCGUGACGUUAACAACAGAAGAAGCACCGGCUAACUCCGUGCCAGCAGCCGCGGUAAUACGGAGGGUGCGAGCGUUAAUCGGAAUUACUGGGCGUAAAGCGCACGCAGGCGGUUUGUUAAGCUAGAUGUGAAAGCCCCGGGCUCAACCUGGGAUGGUCAUUUAGAACUGGCAGACUAGAGUCUUGGAGAGGGGAGUGGAAUUCCAGGUGUAGCGGUGAAAUGCGUAGAUAUCUGGAGGAACAUCAGUGGCGAAGGCGACUCCCUGGCCAAAGACUGACGCUCAUGUGCGAAAGUGUGGGUAGCGAACAGGAUUAGAUACCCUGGUAGUCCACACCGUAAACGCUGUCUACUAGCUGUUUGUGACUUUAAGUCGUGAGUAGCGAAGCUAACGCGAUAAGUAGACCGCCUGGGGAGUACGGCCGCAAGGUUAAAACUCAA
Molecule: ribosomal RNA, 532 nt
Filed under: Alteromonas sp.
Lineage: Bacteria; Pseudomonadati; Pseudomonadota; Gammaproteobacteria; Alteromonadales; Alteromonadaceae
Description: bacterial SSU rRNA
Rfam family: Bacterial small subunit ribosomal RNA
Source: RNAcentral